GCGGGGGUGCCCGAGCUAGGUCAAAGGGGGCGGACCGCGACUCCGCUGGCGUUGGCCUGCCCGGGUUCAAAUCCCGGCCCCCGCACCA
Molecule: transfer RNA, 88 nt
Filed under: Thermofilum pendens
Lineage: Archaea; Thermoproteati; Thermoproteota; Thermoprotei; Thermofilales; Thermofilaceae
Description: tRNA-Arg
Rfam family: tRNA
About the family: Transfer RNA (tRNA) molecules are approximately 80 nucleotides in length. Their secondary structure includes four short double-helical elements and three loops (D, anti-codon, and T loops).
Source: RNAcentral